CCUACGGGAGGCAGCAGUAAGGAAUAUUGGUCAAUGGGCGCAAGCCUGAACCAGCCAUGCCGCGUGCAGGAAGACGGCCCUACGGGUUGUAAACUGCUUUUGUACCGGAAUAAACCCCCAUUCGUGAAUGGGGCUGAAUGUACGGUAAGAAUAAGGAUCGGCUAACUCCGUGCCAGCAGCCGCGGUAAUACGGAGGAUCCGAGCGUUAUCCGGAUUUAUUGGGUUUAAAGGGUGCGUAGGCGGCCUGUUAAGUCAGGGGUGAAAGACGGUAGCUCAACUAUCGCAGUGCCUUUGAUACUGACGGGCUUGAAUGUACUUGAGGUAGGCGGAAUGUGACAAGUAGCGGUGAAAUGCAUAGAUAUGUCACAGAACACCAAUUGCGAAGGCAGCUUACUAAAGUAUGAUUGACGCUGAGGCACGAAAGCGUGGGGAUCAAACAGGAUUAGAUACCCUGGUAGUCCACGCCCUAAACCGAUGAAUACUCGAUGUUGGCGAUAUACGGCCAGCGUCUAAGCGAAAGCGUUAAGUAUUCCACCUGGGGAGUACGCCCGCAAGGUGAAACUCAAGGAAUUGACGG
RNAcentral lists this ribosomal RNA (577 nucleotides) under uncultured bacterium. RNAcentral's name for it is "bacterial SSU rRNA". It matches the Rfam family "Bacterial small subunit ribosomal RNA", at positions 338 to 916 of the family's 1533-position model. The record is from RNAcentral.